CAAAAAGUAGUAUAUAGUUUACAACUUGCUUACACCAAGUAAAAGGCCUCAGCCCUUUUUGA
Molecule: transfer RNA, 62 nt
Filed under: Sinosolenaia oleivora
Lineage: Eukaryota; Metazoa; Mollusca; Bivalvia; Unionida; Unionidae
Description: tRNA-Val
Source: RNAcentral